CUAGAAUGCUUGGUCACAGAUUUGAUGAUUGGAGGUGAAAUAUGACACAGAGAGAUUUCAGUGCUAAAAACCACUGUACAAAGGUACAACUUGCAGAGAGUGCCCUGCGGUGCAUCCAGGAGACGACAGGAGGGGAAUGUUUCACCCUGUUCUGUUUCCACAAUUGCACUCAGCACCUCUCCAGCAGCUAAGUGAACCAUCUCCCGAGCUCUCCCAGUGCACAGGAGGCCGUCUCUCCCCUCUACAUGCCUGCCAUUAUUCUCAGCACCACCACUGAUGCUUCAGUCAUUAGUCUUCUGCCCUCAUUUCCCUUCCUUGUGGAAUACACUGAUUUAUCUCUAUGGCUUCAAAAAUCCU
This is a long non-coding RNA of Cavia porcellus (domestic guinea pig), 357 nucleotides long. RefSeq lists it as uncharacterized. The transcript is spliced from 3 exons. The record is from RefSeq and is a predicted model, not a curated record. Lineage: Eukaryota; Metazoa; Chordata; Mammalia; Rodentia; Caviidae.